This 840-nucleotide ribosomal RNA is filed under the name Escherichia coli. Its description in RNAcentral is "partial 23S ribosomal RNA". It matches the Rfam family "Bacterial large subunit ribosomal RNA", at positions 375 to 1220 of the family's 2925-position model. Lineage: Bacteria; Pseudomonadati; Pseudomonadota; Gammaproteobacteria; Enterobacterales; Enterobacteriaceae. The record is from RNAcentral.
GUACACAAAAAUGCACAUACUGUGAGCUCGAUGAGUAGGGCGGGACACGUGGUAUCCUGUCUGAAUAUGGGGGGACCAUCCUCCAAGGCUAAAUACUCCUGACUGACCGAUAGUGAACCAGUACCGUGAGGGAAAGGCGAAAAGAACCCCGGCGAGGGGAGUGAAAAAGAACCUGAAACCGUGUACGUACAAGCAGUGGGAGCCUCUUAAUGGGGUGACUGCGUACCUUUUGUAUAAUGGGUCAGCGACUUAUAUUCUGUAGCAAGGUUAACCGAAUAGGGGAGCCGAAGGGAAACCGAGUCUUAACUGGGCGUUAAGUUGCAGGGUAUAGACCCGAAACCCGGUGAUCUAGCCAUGGGCAGGUUGAAGGUUGGGUAACACUAACUGGAGGACCGAACCGACUAAUGUUGAAAAAUUAGCGGAUGACUUGUGGCUGGGGGUGAAAGGCCAAUCAAACCGGGAGAUAGCUGGUUCUCCCCGAAAGCUAUUUAGGUAGCGCCUCGUGAAUUCAUCUCCGGGGGUAGAGCACUGUUUCGGCAAGGGGGUCAUCCCGACUUACCAACCCGAUGCAAACUGCGAAUACCGGAGAAUGUUAUCACGGGAGACACACGGCGGGUGCUAACGUCCGUCGUGAAGAGGGAAACAACCCAGACCGCCAGCUAAGGUCCCAAAGUCAUGGUUAAGUGGGAAACGAUGUGGGAAGGCCCAGACAGCCAGGAUGUUGGCUUAGAAGCAGCCAUCAUUUAAAGAAAGCGUAAUAGCUCACUGGUCGAGUCGGCCUGCGCGGAAGAUGUAACGGGGCUAAACCAUGCACCGAAGCUGCGGCAGCGACACUAUGUG